UCAGUGUAGCUGCUACUAUAUCCUGCCUUAUUUUUGGCUCUUGAUUUUUCACAUUCAUUUUUUCUUUCACAGCACACAUUGAAGAUUUUUCGCUCUAUUCUUGGAAUUAUCUUCAUUUUGGGCAACCCAAAAUUUGAUGAAUCUUAUAAUGCCUUUCUUACUUGUAUAUUUGCUGGUAGAUUAUUCAGGAAGAGGGCCAGAGUAUUGUUGUUGCUCCAAAUGCAGUACACUGGGGCUGGAAUACAGGGUACAACAUUGCAGAGGCAUGCAAUUUUGGAACAUUAUCCUGGAUCCCUUUUGGCAUUGUGGCCCCAAAAUGCUCCUGCAUGGGUGGGGAGGUGCACAUGGACCUAGAAAGACUAAUUGCUGCUACUCGACCUGAACUUCUUGAAUGCUAUUUAAAAAAGUCGAUUCCUCAAGGCGAAGAUGACAUAUUCUGUAAAUCAAUAUUAAGAAUGAACAGCAACUGUCAGAUUUCUCAACCACACAUUGAAGAAAAGGUAAUGCUAAAACAAUCAAACCGAGGGGGUAAUCACUACAGAAAGUAGGUGUACACAUUUCUGUAAAAGUUAAAGUGAAAGUGACAAAAAGUUGACUAAAAGUGAUGAAAACUGAAAGAAAAUGUCGACAAAAGUGACUUAUCGUGCCUUGAUCAGAUGAAAAAUGAAUAAAAUAGAGGGGAUAUAGGCAUAGAAAUAAAGUAAACGUUGUAAAACGGUGAAGAAGUGAAUAAAAGUGGAAAAGUGAAAAGUUGA
Frankliniella occidentalis (western flower thrips) is the source of this 755-nucleotide long non-coding RNA. RefSeq lists it as uncharacterized. Lineage: Eukaryota; Metazoa; Arthropoda; Insecta; Thysanoptera; Thripidae. The record is from RefSeq and is a predicted model, not a curated record. The transcript is spliced from 4 exons.